UACGUAGGGUGCGAGCGUUGUCCGGAAUUACUGGGCGUAAAGAGCUCGUAGGUGGUUUGUCGCGUUGUUCGUGAAAACUCACAGCUCAACUGUGGGCGUGCGGGCGAUACGGGCAGACUGGAGUACUGCAGGGGAGACUGGAAUUCCUGGUGUAGCGGUGGAAUGCGUAGAUAUCGGGAGGAGCAUCGAUGGCGAAGGCAAUCACCUGGGCCUGAACUGACACUGUGACACGAAAGCGUGGGUAGCAAACAGG
Molecule: ribosomal RNA, 253 nt
Filed under: uncultured bacterium
Lineage: Bacteria
Description: partial 16S ribosomal RNA
Rfam family: Bacterial small subunit ribosomal RNA
Source: RNAcentral